Molecule: non-coding RNA, 1416 nt
Organism: Physcomitrium patens
Lineage: Eukaryota; Viridiplantae; Streptophyta; Bryopsida; Funariales; Funariaceae
Source: RefSeq, a predicted model, not a curated record
ACUGCACACAUGGGAAAUCGAGGUUGGUCAUCUCCAUAGGUCCGUGACUGGAGAGAGUCUUCAUUCGCGAACACUCCACAAUUCGCAAAAGAACUGCAGCAAGUCCUUAUAGCGAAACAACAAGCAGAGAAAUGCUGUGGAAAUGAAAAAUGUGGAGGAAGGGUGCAUCCUUCUAUUCGGUUCUGAUGUCAGUGGAAUCAUACCCCUUUUAUCCUUUCUAGUAGAUUACAGUGCUUCUAAGUCCCCACUCUCCUUGAUGCUGUCUGGGAUUGAGUUUCGGCGAUAAACACCACUAGAGUCGUCAGCUUACACGAACACCAGGACGAGGUGCUGUUACAUUCCAUUCACUCCUUUACCCCCGGUAAACCACUAGGAUGUUAUACAGCGAUAUGUAAACGCAGGUGGUGGUGGUGACUCUUUGUGCAUGAUGCAAGGCGGGAGGUCAUCGCAGAGUCAAGCUCGAAGAUCCACGGAUCAUCCUCCGUCAGAAGACCACCAGAUUGCUCUCCCUGACAAGGAUACCUCGCGAGAAGGAAUUCUGAGCCGCAGAAGUACGUGAUUCUAAAGGUGUCCUACGUGCGAAGGGCAGAUUCAGUGAUGAAUCACUCUUGAGCAUUCCAUGAAUCUCCCUCGCCACCGAGAUCUUCAUCGGGGUGCGCAGCAACAAGGACAGAAGCCAGUGCCGAAAAUCCCUCUCUUUUCCCUCUUUCUCAAUCUCUCUCUUGCUUUCUCUCUCUCUCUCUCUCUCUCUCUCAAUUCUCUGUCUCUGUUUGUCUGCAUGUCUUGCUCGCAAAGGGUGCAAACGACGUUAGCUGCGUGGCAUGAGAAUCUUAUGUCCAGCUAAGGCGCAGUAAUCGAAGUCCAGGUCUGAGGCGCUGCAGGGCAGCCUUGCCGACGCCAGGCAUCCCGCAAGCCUGCAACCCAAUCCACAGCUCAGCCUCCCUUUCGCAAACUCCCGUGGGUGUCUGCCAGUUUUGUCUUUCUGUCUGUCUGUGUAUCAAUCUUUCUUUCUAACUGUCUAUCUGUUCCAUUCCCCCCCUCCCCAUUCGUCUUUGCCCUUCUUUCGUUAUUUCUUUCCUCCUUCCUUCCUUUGCUUGCUUUCUGGUCACACCACUGUCUUGCUUGCAUGCUUUCUCCGUGGUUGUGCUGGGGUUGUGGCCCGUUCUCAUGCUCUCCCUCUUGCUCUUUGAUUCUCUCUCCGUCCCUCCCUCACUCUCUAGGUGAAUGGAUAGGUGAAUGGAUUACAAUAGGAGUUGGGUUCCUUUGUUUAGAAAUGAAAUGCAUGGGAAAUGACCAUAUUAGUUAAAACAAUUACAAAAAUGAACUAAACCAAAAAGUUUUAAGAAAUAGUUAGAAAUGUCAUAGAAAUUAUAGAAAUCAAAAAUAAUAUAAAAAGAAAAGUGUAAAACAUGAAUA